Molecule: non-coding RNA, 106 nt
Organism: Gossypium raimondii (Peruvian cotton)
Lineage: Eukaryota; Viridiplantae; Streptophyta; Magnoliopsida; Malvales; Malvaceae
Source: Rfam
AAACCAUGAUGAGGCAUUUUUGUAAUAAUUUGUUAGAUUAUUCUCAUGCCUUAUACAAGGACUCAUCAUCAAAUUGCUGAAAUGUGGUAAUUUCAUUUCUGAGUGA